This 425-nucleotide ribosomal RNA is filed under the name uncultured bacterium. RNAcentral's name for it is "partial 16S ribosomal RNA". It matches the Rfam family "Bacterial small subunit ribosomal RNA", at positions 354 to 796 of the family's 1533-position model. The record is from RNAcentral.
GUGGGGAAUAUUGGACAAUGGGCGAAAGCCUGAUCCAGCAAUGCCGCGUGAGUGAUGAAGGCCCUAGGGUUGUAAAGCUCUUUUACCCGGGAUGAUAAUGACAGUACCGGGAGAAUAAGCUCCGGCUAACUUCGUGCCAGCAGCCGCGGUAAUACGAGGGGAGCUAGCGUUGUUCGGAAUUACUGGGCGUAAAGCGCGCGUAGGCGGUUUGUUAAGUCAGAGGUGAAAGCCCGGGGCUCAACCCCGGAAUUGCCUUUGAAACUGGAAAACUAGAAUCUUGGAGAGGUCAGUGGAAUUCCGAGUGUAGAGGUGAAAUUCGUAGAUAUUCGGAAGAACACCAGUGGCGAAGGCGACUGACUGGACAAGUAUUGACGCUGAGGUGCGAAAGCGUGGGGAGCAAACAGGAUUAGAUACCCCGGUAGUCC